UGCCCUAGUAACGGCGAGUGAAGCGGCAAGAGCUCAAAUUUGAAAUCUGGCUCCUUUGGGGUCCGAGUUGUAAUUUGUAGAGGGUGCUUUGGUGUUGACUAUGGCCUAAGUUCCUUGGAACAGGACGUCUUAGAGGGUGAGAACCCCGUACGUGGCCUCUAGCCUUCACCGUGUAAAGCCCCUUCGACGAGUCGAGUUGUUUGGGAAUGCAGCUCUAAAUGGGAGGUAAAUUUCUUCUAAAGCUAAAUAUUGGCCAGAGACCGAUAGCGCACAAGUAGAGUGAUCGAAAGAUGAAAAGCACUUUGGAAAGAGAGUCAAAAAGCACGUGAAAUUGUUGAAAGGGAAGCGCUUGCAGCCAGACUUGCCCGUAGUCGCUCAUCCGAGCUCUUGCUCGGUGCACUCUUCUGCGGGCAGGCCAGCAUCAGUCCGGGCGGUCGGAUAAAGGCUCUGGGAAUGUAGCUCUCUUCGGGGAGUGUUAUAGCCCAGGGUGUCAUGCGACCAGCCUGGACUGAGGUCCGCGCAUCUGCUAGGAUGCUGGCGUAAUGGCUGUAAGCGGCCCGUCUUGAAACACGGACCAAGGAGUCUAACAUCUAUGCGAGUGUUUGGGUGUCAAGCCCGGGCGCGCAAUGAAAGUGAACGGAGGUGGGAGCCUUUGGGUGCACCAUCGACCGAUCCUGAUGUCUUCGGAUGGAUUUGAGUAAGAGCAUAGCUGUUGGGACCCGAAAGAUGGUGAACUAUGCCUGAAUAGGGUGAAGCCAGAGGAAACUCUGGUGGAGGCUCGCAGCGGUUCUGACGUGCAAAUCGAUCGUCAAAUUUG
Molecule: ribosomal RNA, 817 nt
Filed under: Hermatomyces krabiensis
Lineage: Eukaryota; Fungi; Ascomycota; Dothideomycetes; Pleosporales; Hermatomycetaceae
Description: eukaryotic LSU rRNA
Rfam family: Eukaryotic large subunit ribosomal RNA
Source: RNAcentral